Molecule: ribosomal RNA, 441 nt
Filed under: uncultured bacterium
Lineage: Bacteria
Description: partial 16S ribosomal RNA
Rfam family: Bacterial small subunit ribosomal RNA
Source: RNAcentral
CCUACGGGUGGCAGCAGUGGGGGAUAUUGCACAAUGGGGGGAACCCUGAUGCAGCGACGCCGCGUGGGUGAAGGAGUGCUUCGGCAUGUAAAGCCCUAUCGGCAGGGAAGAAGCAAGACGGUACCUGACUAAGAAGCCCCGGCUAACUACGUGCCAGCAGCCGCGGUAAUACGUAGGGGGCGAGCGUUAUCCGGAUUCACUGGGUGUAAAGGGAGCGUAGACGGCCAUGCAAGCCAGGGGUGAAAGCCCGGGGCCAAACCCCGGGACUGCCCUUGGAACUGUCCGGCGAGAGUGCGGGAGGGGCAGGCGGAAUUCCUGGGGGAGCGGGGAAAUGCGUAGAUAUCAGGAGGAACGCCGGCGGCGAAGGCGGCCUGCUGGACUGCGACUGACGUUGAGGCUCGAAAGCGUGGGGAGCGAACAGGAAUAGAUACCCCGGUAGUC